RNAcentral lists this ribosomal RNA (494 nucleotides) under uncultured bacterium. Its description in RNAcentral is "partial 16S ribosomal RNA". It matches the Rfam family "Bacterial small subunit ribosomal RNA", at positions 28 to 507 of the family's 1533-position model. The record is from RNAcentral.
GACGAACGCUGGCGGCGUGCUUAACACAUGCAAGUCGAACGGUGAAGCGCCUUCCUUUUUGGUGGGUGUGGAUGAGUGGCGAACGGGUGAGUAACACGUGAGUAACCUGCCCCCUUCUUCUGGAUAACCGCAUGAAAGUGUGGCUAAUACGGGAUAUUCUGGGUCUGUCGCAUGAUGGGUCUGGGAAAGAUAUUGUUUCGGUGGGGGAUGGGCUCGCGGCCUAUCAGCUUGUUGGUGGGGUGAUGGCCUACCAAGGCGGUGACGGGUAGCCGGCCUGAGAGGGUGGACGGUCACACUGGGACUGAGACACGGCGCAGACUACUACGGGAGGCAGCAGUGGGGAAUAUUGCACAAUGGGCGCAAGCCUGAUGCAGCGACGCCGCGUGAGGGAUGGAGGCCUUCGGGUUGUGAACCUCUUUCGCCAGUGAAGCAGGCCUGCCUCGUCUGUGGGUGGGUUGACGGUAGCUGGAUAAGAAGCGCCGGCUAACUACGUG